Molecule: transfer RNA, 74 nt
Filed under: Trichonephila inaurata madagascariensis
Lineage: Eukaryota; Metazoa; Arthropoda; Arachnida; Araneae; Nephilidae
Rfam family: tRNA
About the family: Transfer RNA (tRNA) molecules are approximately 80 nucleotides in length. Their secondary structure includes four short double-helical elements and three loops (D, anti-codon, and T loops).
Source: Rfam by way of RNAcentral
GGCCCGUUAGCUCAGUUGGUUAGAGCAUCGUGCUAAUAACGCGAAGGUCGCGGGUUCGAUCCCCUCACGGGCCA